This 484-nucleotide ribosomal RNA is filed under the name uncultured bacterium. RNAcentral's name for it is "partial 16S ribosomal RNA". It matches the Rfam family "Bacterial small subunit ribosomal RNA", at positions 30 to 507 of the family's 1533-position model. The record is from RNAcentral.
AUUGAACGCUGGCGGCAGGCCUAACACAUGCAAGUCGAGCGGAUGAAGGGAGCUUGCUCCUGGAUUCAGCGGCGGACGGGUGAGUAAUGCCUAGGAAUCUGCCUGGUAGUGGGGGAUAACGUCCGGAAACGGGCGCUAAUACCGCAUACGUCCUGAGGGAGAAAGUGGGGGAUCUUCGGACCUCACGCUAUCAGAUGAGCCUAGGUCGGAUUAGCUAGUUGGUGGGGUAAAGGCCUACCAAGGCGACGAUCCGUAACUGGUCUGAGAGGAUGAUCAGUCACACUGGAACUUGGACACGGUCCAGACUCCUACGGGAGGCAGCAGUGGGGAAUAUUGGACAGUGGGCGAAAGCCUGAUCCAGCCAUGCCGCGUGUGUGAAGAAGGUCUUCGGAUUGUAAAGCACUUUAAGUUGGGAGGAAGGGCAGUAAGUUAAUACCUUGCUGUUUUGACGUUACCAACAGAAUAAGCACCGGCUAACUUCGUG